GAGCAGCUCCGCUCUGGCAGAGAGCGAGAGCGCGAGAGUGGGAGAGAGAGAGCGCGACGUAAGCGCGUGGCAAACACAUGGUUUUUGUUUUUGUUUUUGCCAAAACACAAGAAGAAGAAGAAGCAGAUGACGAAGCAGGCUUACAGUUAGGCUGAAUUAUGUUAUCACAUUCGAGUGCUGACUGUAAGUAUUGAUAAUUUCCUAUCCGAGAAACUAAGUAGGUACUAGGCAGAGGCAGCAGAGGCUCAGCAGAGCUCAGUGUUUGUUUUUAUCCGGCUGGAGGAAAAAUAAACAAACCCUGAUAUCUAACUGGCUUACCUAAGAGGCGACCCACUGUGUUCUGGGGCUUAUCAUCGCCGAAAGGCAGCCCCCCCCAUCACCCAGCACCCGCCCGCAAAUAACAAAGCCCACAACAAUGUAUCGGCGUUCGAAGAGCGGAGAAUCAUUCUUCAGGCGGUUGGAGAGAGAGGCUAAGAACUGCCGUUAUUGUCUUUACGCUACGUGCGUUCUUGUCUUUGUUGCGAGCCUGUGUUUGUCUUUGUUGCGCUCUAGUUUCUGGCUUUAAGCUAUUAAUGAAACUAAAUUGUAAAGUAAACGUGUUAAUUAGAGAGAGA
Drosophila ananassae is the source of this 614-nucleotide long non-coding RNA. RefSeq lists it as uncharacterized. The transcript is spliced from 2 exons. NCBI's taxonomy places the organism in Eukaryota, Metazoa, Arthropoda, Insecta, Diptera, Drosophilidae. The record is from RefSeq and is a predicted model, not a curated record.